GUAAACUCAAGGCCUUGAUUUGAUUUCAUGUUUUUUACUUUUUAGUUAUGUGCUUGUAUGUUUUUAGCCGGUUUGAACUCACUAUUUAGCAUUGUAUGUUUUUACAUGGGCAGUUGUGUAAUGUGUUUUUACAUGAGUAGCUGGUUUGAAUUCACUAUUUAGUGUUUAGCUAUUAAUAUUUGAAGAACUUUUAAAUGUUUUCUUCACUCUUGUAUUAGAUGUUGAAGCUAUGUGGUAUUUUUGUUUCUUAAGCAGCUAGUUCCCUAAAUUCUAAUAUUUCGACCUAUCACAACUAGGACUAAUAGCAGGAUGUGGCUGCUCAGAUAAGAAUGUAUUUUGUCAGUUAUUAUUCAAUCAAAAGAAAUAGUUAACAUGUAGACAACGCGUGCUAGCUCUCUCACCUUACUAAUUCUACUUCAAUGCUGAGGUGUGAGGUGCAGGUUAUUUUAUAGAGUUACUGAAAGAGCCAGGUGGAUCUGAUCUGGCUUAUACACAAAUAGGCAACUAACAUUGCUUCUAGAAGUUUCAAACUUUGUCGAAAUCAAAACUUCCGUCCAAACUGUGGAGAAGAUUUGUAGAAGAAUCCUUUUAGUUUUCUGUACAGUUUCUUGUCUUGGAAAAGGUAGUUCCCUGUUAUCAGUUGGAUGAUGUUAGGAUACUAACAAUAAUUUAGACUGAAAGGACUGUAUAAAUGGCUUAAACAGAGGCGGUACUCUGGUUUACUUUAUUUAUAUAUAAAGCCAAAUGAUCCAGAUUCACAAGAUGAAAAGAAAUAACAAGAAACAACAAGGAAAAAUGCAGAAAAGAUCAUACCAGCCUCUUGGUUUUAAGAGACCCUGGUGGCUGCUGUAGCCCUACCUCCUAAAAGUUAAAAAUACCCUAGCUACUCCAACCUAAUAAUCCUAUUUAUAGACUCACAUAUUCCUCAGCCCAGUGGGCCCUACCACUCAGAACGUCCUUCCAAUCAUUUCUCCAUAAUAAUUCCCUGUGCAGUUACUUUUCUACCCUUCCUCCUAUAAGUAUGGAUAAUUGGGGGUCUUACAGAUGACUGCCAGUUUCUUGUGUUCGAUCAAAGGAGAGAGAUGGUUGGCUUCUUCCUGACAGGGACGGGGAUGACAGCCAGCUUUCAGAUCCUCCUGAUAGCAAGAUAUUGCAGGAAAAUGAAACAUCAUAUGCCAAAUACAUUAUAAUUUACCCUUCAUGUGAGAAUAACUUAAAAAUAUAAGAAUAUUGUCAGCAGUGUUCAUGAGUAUAGCAGAUCCAAUAAAGUAGCAUUUCUUGUGUCGUGUUUGUUAACUCAUUUAUUCUUUUAAUGCUUGGGUCUUGAAUCAAGAACCUUGUACUGAAGUUAUCAGCUCUGAUUUCAGGGGCCAAGAAAGAAGAUCCUUU
RNAcentral lists this long non-coding RNA (1389 nucleotides) under Cucumis sativus (cucumber). RNAcentral's name for it is "long non-coding RNA (CSAT_LNC002845)". Lineage: Eukaryota; Viridiplantae; Streptophyta; Magnoliopsida; Cucurbitales; Cucurbitaceae. The record is from RNAcentral.